RNAcentral lists this small nuclear RNA (179 nucleotides) under Echinops telfairi (small Madagascar hedgehog). RNAcentral's name for it is "U2 spliceosomal RNA (ENSETEG00000023632.1)". It matches the Rfam family "U2 spliceosomal RNA". Rfam says of the family: U2 is a small nuclear RNA (snRNA) component of the spliceosome (involved in pre-mRNA splicing). Complementary binding between U2 snRNA (in an area lying towards the 5' end but 3' to hairpin I) and the branchpoint sequence (BPS) of the intron results the bulging out of an unpaired adenosine, on the BPS, which initiates a nucleophilic attack at the intronic 5' splice site, thus starting the first of two transesterification reactions that mediate splicing. The record is from RNAcentral. Lineage: Eukaryota; Metazoa; Chordata; Mammalia; Afrosoricida; Tenrecidae.
UUCACUUCUCAGCCUUACAGUUCCGAUCCGAUGUAGUAUCUUUUCUUAUCAGUUUACUAUCUGAUACAUUCUUCUAUCUGAGGGCAAUUUGUUAAAAGGGGUUUUGGAGCAGGGAGGUGGGAUACCCAUUCCACACAUCAGCCUGGUGCUGUGGUACCUCCAGGCAUGGUGCAGCUCCU